Ovis aries (sheep) is the source of this 72-nucleotide transfer RNA. It matches the Rfam family "tRNA". Rfam says of the family: Transfer RNA (tRNA) molecules are approximately 80 nucleotides in length. Their secondary structure includes four short double-helical elements and three loops (D, anti-codon, and T loops). The record is from Rfam. Lineage: Eukaryota; Metazoa; Chordata; Mammalia; Artiodactyla; Bovidae.
UCCUUGGUGGCCUAGAGGGUAAAGAAUCUGCCUACAAUGCAGGAGACCCAGGUUCUAUCCCUGGAUCGGGAA